RNAcentral lists this ribosomal RNA (323 nucleotides) under uncultured Bradyrhizobium sp. RNAcentral's name for it is "bacterial SSU rRNA". It matches the Rfam family "Bacterial small subunit ribosomal RNA", at positions 355 to 695 of the family's 1533-position model. Lineage: Bacteria; Pseudomonadati; Pseudomonadota; Alphaproteobacteria; Hyphomicrobiales; Nitrobacteraceae. The record is from RNAcentral.
UGGGGAAUAUUGGACAAUGGGGGCAACCCUGAUCCAGCCAUGCCGCGUGAGUGAUGAAGGCCCUAGGGUUGUAAAGCUCUUUUGUGCGGGAAGAUAAUGACGGUACCGCAAGAAUAAGCCCCGGCUAACUUCGUGCCAGCAGCCGCGGUAAUACGAAGGGGGCUAGCGUUGCUCGGAAUCACUGGGCGUAAAGGGUGCGUAGGCGGGUCUUUAAGUCAGGGGUGAAAUCCUGGAGCUCAACUCCAGAACUGCCUUUGAUACUGAAGAUCUUGAGUAUGGGAGAGGUGAGUGGAACUGCGAGUGUAGAGGUGAAAUUCGUAGAU